UCCGGUUUGGCACCGGCAGUCUCCCUAGAGUCCCCGACGUUACCCGCUGGCAACAUGGAACGAGGGUUGCGCUCGUUGCGGGACUUAACCCAACAUCUCACGACACGAGCUGACGACAGACAUGCAGCAUCUGUGGCGCACCCUCGAAGGUCACACGUUUCCGUGCGCUUGCAGCGCCAUGUCAAGCCCAGGUAAGGUUCUUCGCGUUGCAUCGAAUUAAGCAACAUGCUCCGCCGCUUGUGCGGGCCCCCGUCAAUUCCUUUGAGUUUUAGCCUUGCGGCCGUACUCCCCAGGCGGAACACUUAUCGCGUUGGCUGCGGCACAGACAGAUUCGACUCCGCCCACACCUAGUGUUCAUCGUUUACGGCGUGGACUAC
RNAcentral lists this unclassified non-coding RNA (377 nucleotides) under uncultured Rubrobacterales bacterium. RNAcentral's name for it is "contains 16S-23S intergenic spacer region". Lineage: Bacteria; Bacillati; Actinomycetota; Rubrobacteria; Rubrobacterales. The record is from RNAcentral.